Molecule: non-coding RNA, 46 nt
Organism: Operophtera brumata (winter moth)
Lineage: Eukaryota; Metazoa; Arthropoda; Insecta; Lepidoptera; Geometridae
Source: Rfam
ACAAAGGCCCUUUUUAGGGCCACCAUAUUCACUGAUAACCUAACAC